UCAGAAUAUCCUUAGAUGCCUGACUGAUGUUGCUAAGUCUGAGACUGCAAUUUUGGCCUCUGUUGCAAUGGAAGCUUUAGGUCAUAUUGGGCUACGUGUACCAUUGCCUCCGCUUUGUGAUAGUUCAGGUUCAGUGGAGAUUCUGUCGCUCUUACAUGAAAAGUUGAGCAAACUACUCUCUGGCGAUGACAUUAAAGCAAUUCAGAAAAUUGUUAUCUCCCUUGGACAUAUAUGUGUAAAGGAAACAUCAUCUUCACACUUGAAUAUUGCUCUUGAUUUGAUUUUUAGUCUGUGUCGGUGC
Molecule: unclassified non-coding RNA, 301 nt
Filed under: Hevea brasiliensis (rubber tree)
Lineage: Eukaryota; Viridiplantae; Streptophyta; Magnoliopsida; Malpighiales; Euphorbiaceae
Source: RNAcentral